AUUGAACGCUGGCGGCAUGCUUUACACAUGCAAGUCGGGCGGCAGCACGGGGAGGCUUGCUUCUUGGUUUUCGAGUGGCGAGGGUGUGUGUAACAUGGCUGAACUUACCGAGCGGUUGGGGAUAACUAAUGGAACGAUUAGCUAAUACCGCAUAUUUUCUGAGCAAGAAGGCUGGAGACCUUUGGGCCUUGCUGUGGUUGAGCGGCGGAUAUCUGAUUAGCUAGUUGGUGGGGUAAAGGCCUACCAAGGCGACGAUCAGUAGCGGGUCUGAGAGGAUGAUCGGCCACACUGGGACUGAGACACGGUCCAGACUCCUACGGGAGGCAGCAGUGGGGAAUUUUGGACAAUGGGCGCAAGCCUGAUCCAGCCAUGCCGCGUGUCUGAAGAAGGCCUUCGGGUUGUAAAGCCCUUUUGUUAGGGAAGAACAGAGGGGGGUUAAUACCCGUGUAUGAUGACGGUACCUGAAGAAUAAGCCACGGCUAACUACGUG
This 490-nucleotide ribosomal RNA is filed under the name uncultured bacterium. RNAcentral describes it as "partial 16S ribosomal RNA". It matches the Rfam family "Bacterial small subunit ribosomal RNA", at positions 30 to 507 of the family's 1533-position model. The record is from RNAcentral.